UGGGGAAUAUUGCACAAUGGGGGAAACCCUGAUGCAGCAACGCCGCGUGAGUGAAGAAGUAUUUCGGUAUGUAAAGCUCUAUCAGCAGGGAAGAUAAUGACGGUACCUGACUAAGAAGCUCCGGCUAAAUACGUGCCAGCAGCCGCGGUAAUACGUAUGGAGCAAGCGUUAUCCGGAUUUACUGGGUGUAAAGGGUGCGUAGGCGGUCUGGCAAGUCAGAUGUGAAAUGCCGGGGCUCAACCCCGGAGCUGCAUUUGAAACUGCUGGACUGGAGUACAGGAGAGGCAGGCGGAAUUCCUAGUGUAGCGGUGAAAUGCGUAGAUAUUAGGAAGAACACCAGUGGCGAAGGCGGCCUGCUGGACUGUUACUGACGCUGAGGCACGAAAGCGUGGGGAGCAAACAGG
This 404-nucleotide ribosomal RNA is filed under the name uncultured bacterium. Its description in RNAcentral is "bacterial SSU rRNA". It matches the Rfam family "Bacterial small subunit ribosomal RNA", at positions 355 to 776 of the family's 1533-position model. The record is from RNAcentral.